RNAcentral lists this ribosomal RNA (492 nucleotides) under uncultured bacterium. RNAcentral describes it as "partial 16S ribosomal RNA". It matches the Rfam family "Bacterial small subunit ribosomal RNA", at positions 29 to 507 of the family's 1533-position model. The record is from RNAcentral.
AGUGAACGCUGGCGGUAGGCCUAACACAUGCAGGUCGAACGGCAGCACAGUAAGAGCUUGCUCUUACGGGUGGCGAGUGGCGGACGGGUGAGGAAUACAUCGGAAUCUACUUUUUCGUGGGGGAUAACGUAGGGAAACUUACGCUAAUACCGCAUACGACCUACGGGUGAAAGCAGGGGAUCUUCGGACCUUGCGCGAUUGAAUGAGCCGAUGUCGGAUUAGCUAGUUGGCGGGGUAAAGGCCCACCAAGGCGACGAUCCGUAGCUGGUCUGAGAGGAUGAUCAGCCACACUGGAACUGAGACACGGUCCAGACUCCUACGGGAGGCAACAGUGGGGAAUAUUGGACAAUGGGCGCAAGCCUGAUCCAGCCAUACCGCGUGGGUGAAGAAGGCCUUCGGGUUGUAAAGCCCUUUUGUUGGGAAAGAAAAGCAGCAGGUUAAUACCCCGCUGUUCUGACGGUACCCAAAGAAUAAGCACCGGCUAACUUCGUG